This is an RNase P RNA of 417 nucleotides. It matches the Rfam family "Bacterial RNase P class A". From Rfam's summary of the family: Ribonuclease P (RNase P) is a ubiquitous endoribonuclease, found in archaea, bacteria and eukarya as well as chloroplasts and mitochondria. Its best characterised activity is the generation of mature 5'-ends of tRNAs by cleaving the 5'-leader elements of precursor-tRNAs. Cellular RNase Ps are ribonucleoproteins.
CAAUUAAGCCAAAUGGUCGCUCCGAAAAAUAUUUUGGAGAGGAAAGUCCGAACACCAGAUAAGGGUAAUGGGUAACGCCCACCCGGUUCCGAGCAAUCGGAAUUGAGGACCAGUGCCACAGAGACAAUACUAUUCCGCUUAGGCGGGAAAAAGGUGAAAAGUGUUUUGGUGUUUUAAGUUAAAAACGGGAUAUCCCUUUAACUUACGGCUACAAAACUCAAACCGCAGUGAUGCGGAUUUUGUGGUAAACUCUACCCGGUGCAAUGCCAGAUGUCCUCCGACUCUGCGUCGGAGGGGUAGGCAGCUUGAGUCCGGCGGCGACGCCGGGCCUAGACAGAUGACCGUUGAUAUUUAUCCAUGGUAAAAUCAAUUACAGGGUUAAUAUUACAGAAUUCGGCUUAUAAGCUUGAUUGGACA